RNAcentral lists this ribosomal RNA (428 nucleotides) under uncultured bacterium. Its description in RNAcentral is "partial 16S ribosomal RNA". It matches the Rfam family "Bacterial small subunit ribosomal RNA", at positions 354 to 796 of the family's 1533-position model. The record is from RNAcentral.
GUGGGGAAUAUUGGGCAAUGGGGGAAACCCUGACCCAGCAACGCCGCGUGAGGGAAGAAGGUUUUCGGAUUGUAAACCUCUGUCCUCAGGGACGAAAAAAAUGGCGGUACCUGAGGAGGAAGCCCCGGCUAACUACGUGCCAGCAGCCGCGGUAAUACGUAGGGGGCGAGCGUUGUUCGGAAUGACUGGGCGUAAAGGGCGCGUAGGCGGCCUGUCAAGUUGGGAGUGAAAUUCCUGCUUUCAAGGUAGGAACUGCUUUCAAAACUGUCGGGCUUGAGUGCGGAAGAGAUAAGUGGAAUUCCCAGUGUAGCGGUGAAAUGCGUAGAGAUUGGGAGGAACACCAGUGGCGAAGGCGACUUACUGGGCCGUAACUGACGCUGAUGCGCGAAAGCGUGGGGAGCAAACAGGAUUAGAAACCCCGGUAGUCC